CAGACUGAGUCCAGUAGUUUGACAUUUUCAUCGGGUGUUGGUAUUGGAGUAGCUGUUGGUGCUGUUGCUUUCAUCUUGAUUGUUGUUAUCAUUGUUGUAUACAAAGGCAGAAUUAAAACAUUAAGAAACAGAAGUCAGGAAGACUUAAAACCUGGAACUGAGCUACAGACAUACGACAGUUUGAGUGAAACAAAUGAAUACAAUUACUCUACUUUUGAAGUAGAGAUCAAGUCCGAUAAAAAGCAUGAUCAAGAAGGCAAUGAAACAAAACCUUGUGAGAACAUUUCAAAUACACUUUAUGAGACAAUAGGAUGAGACUCCUCAAAUGUGCAAAAUGAAUAUAUGCAUACAUGUAUAUGUAUGAAUAAAUAAGUGCAUAUCUACAAUAAUUGUAUUAAUGUAAAAUAGCUACACUGAUCUAUAUUAAUGAAUGCAUUGCUUCAUUAAUGUGCAUUUUAAUAUAAUGACUUGAUAGAAGAACAAUAGCUCAUGAUAAUCUGUCCUUGGAGGCCCAUAAAAUACUUGUGUAUGAAUGCUUUUGACACGCUUGUCUACAUAACAUUUAAAUAUGACUUAAUAAACUUUGGUGAUAAAAAUG
This is a long non-coding RNA of Biomphalaria glabrata, 598 nucleotides long. RefSeq lists it as uncharacterized. Lineage: Eukaryota; Metazoa; Mollusca; Gastropoda; Planorbidae. The transcript has 2 exons. The record is from RefSeq and is a predicted model, not a curated record.